AUUGAACGCUGGCGGCAUGCCUUACACAUGCAAGUCGAACGGUAACAGGUUAAGCUGACGAGUGGCGAACGGGUGAGUAAUGUAUCGGAACGUGCCCAGUCGCGGGGGAUAACUGCUCGAAAGAGCAGCUAAUACCGCAUACGACCUGAGGGUGAAAGCGGGGGAUCGCAAGACCUCGCGCGAUUGGAGCGGCCGAUAUCAGAUUAGGUAGUUGGUGAGGUAAAGGCUCACCAAGCCGACGAUCUGUAGCUGGUCUGAGAGGACGACCAGCCACACUGGGACUGAGACACGGCCCAGACUCCUACGGGAGGCAGCAGUGGGGAAUUUUGGACAAUGGGCGCAAGCCUGAUCCAGCCAUGCCGCGUGCGGGAAGAAGGCCUUCGGGUUGUAAACCGCUUUUGUCAGGGAAGAAAAGGUUCUGGCUAAUACCUGGGACUCAUGACGGUACCUGAAGAAUAAGCACCGGCUAACUACGUG
RNAcentral lists this ribosomal RNA (477 nucleotides) under uncultured bacterium. Its description in RNAcentral is "partial 16S ribosomal RNA". It matches the Rfam family "Bacterial small subunit ribosomal RNA", at positions 30 to 507 of the family's 1533-position model. The record is from RNAcentral.